Cygnus olor (mute swan) is the source of this 1831-nucleotide long non-coding RNA. RefSeq lists it as uncharacterized. The record is from RefSeq and is a predicted model, not a curated record. NCBI's taxonomy places the organism in Eukaryota, Metazoa, Chordata, Aves, Anseriformes, Anatidae. The transcript has 2 exons.
GUUUGUGUGCUGGGCCGUGCGAACAAAGAACAUGCUAGGUACCAGUGAUUGCCCUUGUGAGCUGUUAUAUAGCUGUGGCCCAGAAAUUGAAAAAAUGGACAGUAAAUGGGCUAAACAAUCGUGUGCCUCAAACACCAACUCGAUCCUGGAGCAGUCAGCUCAGCAGAGAGCAUGGGCUCAAGCAGCUCUGUGGAGUUACACAGCUUGUGAACAGAAUACCAAUAUAGAAAAACAUGACAAUCAAACCCCACUGGGAAAUGUGGUCCAAUGCACACCCCACGUACCAAGGGGAAGGCCUAGAGAAAAUUCAGGGGUAAUAGUGGCUCUGUUCUGGGGAAACACUGUACUAACUAGAAACAAAGAAGCUUCAUGGGCAGAUGGGACUUGCUGCCAGGAAAUCAGAGAAUGUUUUUAACUAACUAACAAGGGAGAUUGAAUUUUUUUCAGACACAGAUGUUGCUGCGGGAUUGAUCACAGGUGUGGAGCACAGACAACCUCUGCAAGAACCAUCUUCUUUGAGACCAGAGGACUAAUGACAUCUGUCUGCGAACCGACGGUCCUUGCUGGGAUGAGGUACUCGGACAGCCAGACGGCAUGCAGAAGGACGCCGAGAAACCGGAAAGCGGACAACAAAUUGCAAGUUGAUGGAUCACCCUAGAAAAUAAGGAACUGUUAGAAUCAGAGACCAAUAGCAAAUUGUUAACUGUACAUUAUUGGUAUGACAUUUACACGGAUGGGUCACCAAAAGCUAAUGCUAUGCAGCACUUGAUCACAUAAUCCUGUACUUGCUACUGGUUAUGACAGCAUUGUCCUUUAUCCUUCUGUACAUGCUCUGCUUCUUUCAAAAGGAAGGAGCGCACCGACAUGCCCAGGUGAACAUCUCACAUACGCUGCUGUCCUAACUGCCGUGGUGGUUUCCAGCCGGAAGGGAUUGAGCUUACGAGCAUCCAGAGUGGUCUGCACGUCCUUGGAGAAGGUCAGUCAGGCCAGGGGGUGACUUGUGAGUGAGAGGUCCCGCUGGAGCAUGCGGCCCCAUGCAGCCACGGCCCUGGCAGCGAGUGGCCUAGGGCAGUGUGUGGCCGAAGUGUGGAAAACAGGCACUUCUGCUGCAGCUCUCUGGUGUGUGAGCUGCCAGACAAGGUCUUGCUAGCGCUUGGUUUGAGCUUGCAGAAGGAUCAAGGCUAAAGUGGAAUAGUUGUGUCUAAUAAUUAAAUGAGGAUAAACCCAAUGGGAAAACAACCAGGCGAGGCGGGACGUGAGGAACCGGGCUGCCUGCAGCAGGUAUCUCUGUCUGUAGCACUGUGUGAGGCUGUGCUUGCCUCAGUAAUGGUGUUAUGAAAAAUACAUUUAGGUAUGGCUAUAGCAAAACUGGGACCAGUGGGGAGAAAGUUGGGGGCAGGCUGUUUAUUUAGGAGGGAUUCGGGUGGGGGAGAGGCAAUGCGAGGGUGACAAAAAGGUGAACCUGAAUGAAGGAUGGUGUGUAAAACCCACCAAAGACGACCAGAGGGCACGUGCCGACGGCAGCAGUGUCACCUACAGCUGGUAGCAGACCCACGCACUGGAGGACAUCUCCUGGGAUUAUCGACCAGGCUCUCCAUCUGGUCUCGGACGUGGUGUGGAGGAGCAGACCUGCGCCUUAGGACGUACAGAGCUGCACCCUGUGCUGGCUCUGUGUGUGACUCCCUGGGUCUGAGAUCUACAGCUCAUAGCUUCGUGGCUGUGCAUAAUGGUCUGGGUAACUGAGCAGUGGUAUGUCACUUGGAUUACCCGUUACUUUUCUGUUUUGCCAGUUUCCUUGUAGUGUGUUCAUCAAUAAACAGUUUGCCUCAGG